CUCGUAACAGUAAUAAUUAACAAUAAUCACAGUGGGCGUUAGCGAGCUUUAUCUCAGUGCCAGGCACCGGGCUACCGCUUCUCGUUCCUCAUCGUUUGUCCUCACACCGACCCUGGAGGGGAGGCAGACGAGAAAACUGAGGCUGGCAGACGUCUGCCUGAGGUUUCACAACUAGAAAACUCCAUCCUCCUUCUGGUCUCAGUUUCCCCGUCUGUGGAAGGGGAAGGUUGCACCUGGGACUUGCCAACUGACAAGGGCAGGAGGGAGACCACAGACUUGCUUGGGGUUGGGCUGAGCGUAACACCGCGGCUUUGAAGGCUCACUAGUCCCUGGCUGCAAAUGCCUUCGAUGCCACAAGCAAGAGGAAAGAUGCGGAGUGGGGACCGUCCCCAUGACCUGGCACCCCCUCGUCAAAGCUGUGCCCCUUUGGGUGCCCAGGGUCCUGCCAGAGCUCAGCCAGGGGCUCAAAGGUGUCCUCUUUGCCUUGCUGAUCUCCUCACUUCUGGGCUGGAACAUGGAAAUGACUCACUUUACAGAUGAGGGAACUGAGGCACAGAAUGGGGAAGAGUCUUGCCUGAGUUACACAGACCUGGCUCCUACUGGCUCAGAGAGAGGGGGCUGUUAAAGGCUCAUGGAUUUUGCAAGCCCGAUUUCAUUGGCGCUUUGAACUCAGCUGCAAGUGCAGCCGGUGGUGAAACAUUUACCAGCUCACCACUGACUGGAGGCCAGCCACAGCUUUUAGAGACAGUGUCUCUAGAAGGGUCCCUAGCUUAGAAAGUUGCAGAGAUUUGCAAGACCGCACCCUCGUCUCCAGAUCUGUCACGGAUCUGAGGCUGACGCCAAAGCCAAAGAAAUUUCUUCCCUCUCUCGUGAUGCCAACAGCUAGCUUCUCUCUCUACUCCACCAUAAUGACAUCCCAUCCUGUGCAAGAAGACUGUCCCGGCUGUCCCUUGGGGCAGGGAUUAAAGGUACUACAGGGUUCAGAGCGCCUGGCCAGCUCGCCCUAACCUCUGACACCGUGUGAUCAAUUCCAUAAAUAUUUACCAAGCUCCUCACUUAACCUCCCUGAGC
Molecule: long non-coding RNA, 1071 nt
Organism: Acinonyx jubatus (cheetah)
Lineage: Eukaryota; Metazoa; Chordata; Mammalia; Carnivora; Felidae
Exons: 4
Source: RefSeq, a predicted model, not a curated record